CCCCGGCGCCACAAGUGGUUAUCACGAUUAUUGGGCCUAAAGCGUUCGUAGCCGGUUUGGUAAAUCUCUUGUGAAAUUGUUCGGCUUAACCGGACAGCGUGCAGGAGACACUGCCAAACUCGAGACCGGGAGAGGUUAGAAGUAUUCCAUGGGGACUGGUAAAAUGGGAUAAUCCAUGGAAGACUACCGAUGGCGAAGGCAUCUAACCAGAACGGAUCUGACGGUGAGGAACGAAAGCCAGGGGAGCGAACCGG
This 254-nucleotide ribosomal RNA is filed under the name uncultured bacterium. Its description in RNAcentral is "partial 16S ribosomal RNA". It matches the Rfam family "Archaeal small subunit ribosomal RNA", at positions 474 to 727 of the family's 1478-position model. The record is from RNAcentral.